Molecule: ribosomal RNA, 485 nt
Filed under: uncultured bacterium
Lineage: Bacteria
Description: partial 16S ribosomal RNA
Rfam family: Bacterial small subunit ribosomal RNA
Source: RNAcentral
GACGAACGCUAGCGGCGUGCUUAACACAUGCAAGUCGAACGGAAAGGCCCUGCUUUUGUGGGGUGCUCGAGUGGCGAACGGGUGAGUAACACGUGAGUAACCUGCCCUUGACUUUGGGAUAACUUCAGGAAACUGGGGCUAAUACCGGAUAGGAGCUCCUGCUGCAUGGUGGGGGUUGGAAAGUUUCGGCGGUUGGGGAUGGACUCGCGGCUUAUCAGCUUGUUGGUGGGGUAGUGGCUUACCAAGGCUUUGACGGGUAGCCGGCCUGAGAGGGUGACCGGACACGUGGGUACGGGGAGACGUGCCAUGCAGGGGUGAGAGGAAGGAGUGGGGAAUAGGGGACAGUGGGCGGACGCCUGAGGCAGCAAGGCGGGGGGUGGGUUGAAGGGGGGCGGGUUGGAAGCCGCGUUCGCGGGGGACGGAGGGGGAGGGACAGAAAAGAAAAAAGAAGCACCGGGUAACUACUGGCCAGCAGCGGGGGUAAU